CAAGCUUGCUCCUUGAUGUUAGCGGCGGACGGGUGAGUAACACGUGGGUAACCUGCCUGUAAGACUGGGAUAACAUCCGGGAAACCGGGGCUAAUACCGGAUGGUUGUUUGAACCGCAUGGUUCAAACAUAAAAGGUGGCUUCGGCUACCACUUACAGAUGGACCCGCGGCGCAUUAGCUAGUUGGUGAGGUAACGGCUCACCAAGGCAACGAUGCGUAGCCGACCUGAGAGGGUGAUCGGCCACACUGGGACUGAGACACGGCCCAGACUCCUACGGGAGGCAGCAGUAGGGAAUCUUCCGCAAUGGACGAAAGUCUGACGGAGCAACGCCGCGUGAGUGAUGAAGGUUUUCGGAUCGUAAAGCUCUGUUGUUAGGGAAGAACAAGUACCGUUCGAAUAGGGCGGUACCUUGACGGUACCUAACCAGAAAGCCACGGCUAACUACGUGCCAGCAGCCGCGGUAAUACGUAGGUGGCAAGCGUUGUCCGGAAUUAUUGGGCGUAAAGGGCUCGCAGGCGGUUUCUUAAGUCUGAUGUGAAAGCCCCCGGCUCAAAGAUU
RNAcentral lists this ribosomal RNA (559 nucleotides) under Bacillus subtilis. RNAcentral describes it as "bacterial SSU rRNA". It matches the Rfam family "Bacterial small subunit ribosomal RNA", at positions 73 to 621 of the family's 1533-position model. The record is from RNAcentral. Lineage: Bacteria; Bacillati; Bacillota; Bacilli; Caryophanales; Bacillaceae.